This 253-nucleotide ribosomal RNA is filed under the name uncultured bacterium. Its description in RNAcentral is "partial 16S ribosomal RNA". It matches the Rfam family "Bacterial small subunit ribosomal RNA", at positions 524 to 776 of the family's 1533-position model. The record is from RNAcentral.
GACGGAGGAGGCAAGCGUUAUCCGGAAUUAUUGGGCGUAAAGCGUCCGUAGGCGGUUUGGCAAGUCUGGGGUUAAAGCCCAGAGCCUAACUCCGGAUCGGCCCUGGAAACUGCCAGACUAGAGUAAGGUAGAGGUUGCGGGAAUUCCCGGUGUAGCGGUGAAAUGCGUAGAUAUCGGGAAGAACACCAGUGGCGAAAGCGCGCAACUGGGCCAUUACUGACACUGAGGGACGAAAGCUAGGGGAGCGAAUGGG